AAGUCGUAACAAGGUAACCGUAGGUGAACCUGCGGUUGGAUCAUUAAACAAAACCAAGGUGCCGGGAGCGAGCGGCAUAGGACGCACCCAAGUAAGUCGUCCUCUCCGUUCGCCCUCGGAUUACCACACAUCUUGUGAACCCUCAAACCCGUCCGGCGGGGGAGGGAUGGGAGGCUCUCCGGAGCUUCCGAUCCCUCCGUCAGUGCGAGGCAGCCUCCCCGGUUGUCUUGCGCCGUGGACAACCCGCCCACCCAACCCUUCCAGCCUUCGUGUUGAAGGGGUUGCUUUGCCCAACUUUUUGGAUCUUUACGAAUUGUGAAAUGUCUCUGAGAAUGCGAUGGUGCAAUUGCACCGUCUUUUGGAAACAAACAUUCAAAAACAACUUUUGGCAACGGAUCUCUUGGCUCUC
Molecule: unclassified non-coding RNA, 409 nt
Filed under: fungal sp.
Lineage: Eukaryota; Fungi
Also listed under: 1 other name
Description: partial internal transcribed spacer region
Rfam family: Eukaryotic small subunit ribosomal RNA (bases 1-46)
Source: RNAcentral